Molecule: long non-coding RNA, 2622 nt
Organism: Chrysemys picta bellii (western painted turtle)
Lineage: Eukaryota; Metazoa; Chordata; Testudines; Emydidae
Source: RefSeq, a predicted model, not a curated record
AAGUUGCCCGGUGGUGGGGUGGGCUGGGCUAGCGAGGAGGUGGCGGCUGUGUUACGAGGGGAGCAGGCUGCCUCAGGCCCGGGGCGCGCGCAGAGCUGGGGCUGGCCGUUACCCCUUCUGUGUGACUAGGCCACCCCAUCGCGCCUCCGGGCAGGCCCGUCCGAUGGCUCCGUGUCUUUGUUACCUCUGCGGCCACAGCGCGCAGGGAGAGCUGGUGAGGGCGCUGAACGGGCACAUGCGAGCGCAGGGCUGCUUGAGGGCCGGUGCCGCAGCUACUCAGGGAGAGUAGCCCUGACUUUUGCCGGGGUGCCGGCCGGCCGGGCCGCCUGUGGGGCUGUAUAGUACUCAGUGUACAUGGCGUAGUAUUUUGUCAAAUGAGCAGGCUCCCCUCAGCAUUACACGUGAAGCCGUUAUGCGCCCCUGCCCGAGCCAGUGAGAAAUGUGUGGCUCGUUCCUUUCCAUUAAGAUUGGUUUUAUAGGCCCUCUUUUCUGUACCCGCUCAGGCCUCUCCUCUAGCUGCGCCCCAGUUUUCUCCUUUUAAAUUUGAAAGAACUUGAUCAGAAAGGUGGCUGGCAACAGACCAGGCCUUUUAUCAUAUGGAGGGCAGAAGAUCAUCCCACCAUGCUUUCCCAGAAUUGUAGUUUUCAGGGGCCUGAAGACCUGGACAUUAAUUCUGCAACUAUUCAGAAAUAAUCUUCUGUGGGAAUCUGAUUCUAGGACAUGAAGGGUCUAAGCAAGGAAAUUCUCAGCUACUGCCUUGUUCUGGGGCUAUCACAACUUCCACCGACACCACCAGAUGCUGCAUUUUGUUGUAGAACUAGGAAAGGUCUUUCCAACUUCUUCACAUAAGCUAGGUUACACACUGAAAUCUUCACAACUGCUUGUUUAUUAUAAAAAAAAAAAACAGUUCUGGGCUGCCCAUAAGCCUUUGCUUCUCUGAAAGAAUCUGUCAGAUUUGUGUCUACUAUGUACCAUGGUUAAGGAAAAUCUAACUAUCUUUGAGCUACUCCUUCAUACUGACAGAUCCAGACAAAAGAAAGGCAAAAUAGUAAUGUGGGGUCUGUGCAAAUGAAUCUUUUUGGGGAAUUAAGGCUGGGAUAGCUCUCAGGCCUGAAGGAGACUGUGUCAUUGUGAAAGAUGCUGAGUUGUGGCUCACUGACAAGGUCCCCAAUUCUGAAAUUCUUCCGAGGUGAUUCAAAGGAAGAGGAUAAUUACCAGACUUAAUCACCAGGACCAAAGCCUACACCUGUAGUCACACAAAGGGUAAACUUGGAAACGGCAGCACUGAGAUGUCAAGCUUCAGAUUGUACUUUCCAGGAAAUAGCAGCAACUGUGUCUGUGGCUGUCUCCUUGGCAGAUCUCUUGUACACCCUAUUAUCUAGUUCCAUUUCUGGUUUUGCUUGUCGCUAAAGAGCUGUUUGUAGGGGCUGGUUCAUGAUCAGCCUGCUGUCGGGCUGUUCUGGAUGCAAUUAUUCUAUGAUUUACCACUGAACAUGUGGACUUCGCUCUUUUUCCCUACAUUUUAAAAUUAGGCCUUUCCGAAGUCUUAGUCACAUCUUUUUCAGACGAAAUAAAAGAUGUUUUGUUAAGUUUGAUUUAUAACAAAAUAUUCAUAAGGAAGCCAUCACACAUUAUAGAGGAUAUCCCUUGCAAAAUGAGGUUUUGUUAACCAUAGAUUACACUCAAAGCCUCCCCUGAAAAAAAACAAAAGGGACUGUCUGGGUAAACUGUUUAUUAAAAAAUAAAGGCCUGUUACUGCACCUACUGAGGUCAAUGGAAAAGCUUCCAUUUUCUCCAGUGAAACAGGAUCAGACCCUAAAUGUCUAUAAACAUUAGCUUUUGAGAUGACAACUCAAUUUCUCUUGAGAGAUUAUUGGUACUGUAAAUGAAAAACUUCAAAGCUAUCAAAAAUCGGCUCAGAUACAUAAUACACAUAAAUUGAAUUGUCCCAGAAUUUUGUAUAUUGAAUGUGUAAUAGAGCAACUAUGAUACCUUAUGACACUUAAAAUAUGUUAAUAUUAACUCUCUCUGCUUAGAAAUUAUUAAAAUGAUUAUUUUUGUAUGCUGCUUUAAAUUACAUUUCUUCAUUUAUGGCCAAAUAAAUAUUCAAGCCACACUGUAUAAAACAGUUUGGUAUUUGUUAAAUUAACAAACCAGUGACAAAUAUAAAUGUAUUCCAAUGUAUAUACAUCCGUCUACUAACCAUUUAACACGUAUGGUCAUUAAACACAUACAUAAAUAUGUAUCACUCUCUUCAGUCUAAGGUUUGAAUGGAAACAGCUACAUUCUAAAGCAUUUAAUUUUCUAAUGAUGUAAUGUCGUCAUCAUGUUAGUAGUGGGCAAGUGCUCAGGAGCUAAUGCACAUAAAUCGAAUUAUUUCCUAAUAGAUUUUUUGGGGGUGUAUUUUCCAUCUCCCAGUGGGAAAAUUUACUUUGACUGUCUGGAUACCAUUAGGAUUCUGUAUACACUUUUUAUGGAUGAUGUCAAGCAAGAGAGGGAUUUGAGCCCCUAGGCUUUUUAGAGAGAGGGUAAUGAGGAAUAUUGCUAGCAGGUUUGUUGUAUGUAAAUUUUACCCUUCCAAAGAGAUACUGUUAUGGCUGUAGGUGAAAUGUUUGACCUACU